AGUGAACGCUGGCGGUAGGCCUAACACAUGCAAGUCGAACGGCAGCACAGUAAGAGCUUGCUCUUACGGGUGGCGAGUGGCGGACGGGUGAGGAAUACAUCGGAAUCUACUUUUUCGUGGGGGAUAACGUAGGGAAACUUACGCUAAUACCGCAUACGACCUACGGGUGAAAGCAGGGGAUCUUCGGACCUUGCGCGAUUGAAUGAGCCGAUGUCGGAUUAGCUAGUUGGCGGGGUAAAGGCCCACCAAGGCGACGAUCCGUAGCUGGUCUGAGAGGAUGAUCAGCCACACUGGAACUGAGACACGGUACAGACUCCUACGGGAGGCAGCAGUGGGGAAUAUUGGACAAUGGGCCCAAACCUGAUCCAGCCAUACCGCGUGGGUGAAGAAGGCGUUCGGGUUGUAAAGCCCUUUUGUUGGGAAAGAAAUGCAGCAGGUUAAUACCCCGCUGUUCUGACGGUACCCAAAGAAUAAGCACCGGCUAACUUCGUG
Molecule: ribosomal RNA, 492 nt
Filed under: uncultured bacterium
Lineage: Bacteria
Description: partial 16S ribosomal RNA
Rfam family: Bacterial small subunit ribosomal RNA
Source: RNAcentral